CUUAUACUCCCUCCGUCCCAUAUUAAGUGUCUCAAAUUUGUCUAAAGAUGGAUCUAUACCUAAAAAGCGUCUAGAUACAUGUAAUAUUUUGACACUUAAUAUGGGACAGAGGGAGUAGUAU
Brachypodium distachyon (stiff brome) is the source of this 121-nucleotide non-coding RNA. The record is from Rfam. Lineage: Eukaryota; Viridiplantae; Streptophyta; Magnoliopsida; Poales; Poaceae.